This 104-nucleotide ribosomal RNA is filed under the name Prolemur simus (greater bamboo lemur). Lineage: Eukaryota; Metazoa; Chordata; Mammalia; Primates; Lemuridae. The record is from RNAcentral.
GUCUACAGCCAUCCCACCCUGAACGUGCCCAAUCUCGUCUGAUCUCAGAAGCUAAGCAGGGUCAGGCCUGGUUAGUACUUGGAUGGGAGAAAACAGGGGAAACA